Molecule: long non-coding RNA, 857 nt
Organism: Coregonus clupeaformis (lake whitefish)
Lineage: Eukaryota; Metazoa; Chordata; Actinopteri; Salmoniformes; Salmonidae
Exons: 4
Source: RefSeq, a predicted model, not a curated record
GCAUUUUAAUCAGCCCAUUCACUCAGCUCUCACCAGAACUCCAGACAGCCUGUUCCCCACAGCUACUUUCUGCACACGCCACGGUCAGUGUGAACCGGAGUGACUUGACACAAUGCUGGAUAAACAAGAUGUAACGUUAGCUACAAACAAAACUGAGUUAAAUGGUUCCAGUCUGCCGUGAAGCAUUCAUCCAUGUAUACCGAAAAAAAGGAAUCGCAAGCCGAACUGGACUGAGGAGCAAGGUUUGUUGCUGGCCCAGUUGGUGAACGAACAUAAAGGCGACGAUUGUGAGAAAAGGUGGUAUGUGCUGCAGUCCAAGGCAAAAGAUGAGAUUGCAGCACACAAGCGGGAAUCCUCACUCACAGGUGAGCAAAAUACUAUGGCCUACCACAUAAUCUGGCAAUUUGCUCCUGCUGGCAAAGUUAAUUUACAUGCCUAAGUACUGUGUUCAUUGACUGUUUCUUUCUAGGGGGUGGACCACCUGCAAAGCGGCUGUCCCAGGUGGCCGACACUGUCUUUCAAGUCCUGGGACACUCUGAGGUCAGUGUCACCGGGCUGCCAACAGGCAUUGACACGUCAAUGAUGCAGGCCCUUGAAAUGCAGCAAAGCAUGGAGCCAUCACAAGAACCGGGCCCAUCAAGUUUGCCGCCUGAACCAUCUGCAGCUGCUACUCAGGAUAGCCCGGCGGAUCAAACACCAUUCCCAUCCGCAGCACCUGCUCCGUCAGCAUCCCUGCAGGAGAGAAGAUUGCAACUCACAAUUGAUGUGUUUGAACAACAAAAAAAAGUCCUUUCCCUUCAGGAGGAGUACUACCGCCUUAAAAUUGAACACCUAAAAAAUAAACCAUUUAGAGAUUG